This 513-nucleotide long non-coding RNA is filed under the name Homo sapiens (human). Its description in RNAcentral is "HSALNT0323634". The record is from RNAcentral. Lineage: Eukaryota; Metazoa; Chordata; Mammalia; Primates; Hominidae.
UUAUAGUAUUAGAAUGGCACCCAAUACAUAGUUUGGAAUUUUUUAAAAUGUCAGCUAUUAUGAUGAUAACAAUGGUGGCUUACAAGACCUUUGACCAUCUGGCUUCCCUCUCCAAGCAUGCCAAAUUAAUCACACUUCUUAAACACAUCUCUUGACCGGGGUGUUCUCACCAUGCCCUUUCUACAAACAAAAAGAAGGCAAUGUAUCGCAUCCUGUAUUACCUUCCCCUGACCUCAUAGCUUCCCAAAACAGGAACAAUCAUGGGCUUUGAAGAAUGAAGAUGUGGAGACCUGGAGACAGGUGGCACCUCGUGCUUCCUCCGAAGGGAGAGCCCAUUUCCUAACAGCUGGAUCAAAGGCAUGAAAUGAACAUGGAGUCCCUGAAGAUGAAGAGAAGGCAUGGCUUCCAGGGAGAAAUUGUACAUUACAGGAAUGCAGAUGUGAUUCCUAUGGAUGAGGGUAACCUAGAGGCUAGAAGAACAAUAGGACAGAAGAAGCCUGGGUCCCUGAACAA